RNAcentral lists this ribosomal RNA (359 nucleotides) under uncultured soil bacterium. Its description in RNAcentral is "bacterial SSU rRNA". It matches the Rfam family "Bacterial small subunit ribosomal RNA", at positions 26 to 367 of the family's 1533-position model. The record is from RNAcentral.
AGAAUCAACGCUGGCGGCGUGCCUCAGACAUGCAAGUCGAACGAUUAAAGCUCUCUUCGGAGAGUGUAUAGAGUGGCGCACGGGUGAGUAACACGUAAGUAAUCUACCUUCGAGUGGGGAAUAACCCGGGGAAACCCGAGCUAAUACCGCAUAAUGCAGCGGCAUCGCAAGAUGACAGUUGUUAAAGGAAUUUAUUUCGCUUGAAGAGGAGUCUUGCGGCAGAUUAGCUUUGUUGGUAAGGUUAACGGCUUUACCGAAGGCUUACGAUCUGUACUCCGGUACUAAGAGGACGGUCGGACACACUGACACUGAAAUAACGGGUCAGACUCCGUACGGGAGCAGCGAGUCGGGUAAUUUGG